Long non-coding RNA from Mus musculus (house mouse), 4022 nucleotides. RefSeq annotates it as predicted gene, 31619. Lineage: Eukaryota; Metazoa; Chordata; Mammalia; Rodentia; Muridae. The record is from RefSeq and is a predicted model, not a curated record. The transcript has 4 exons.
AAAAAAAGGACAGGAAUGACCUUGAACUCACUAUAAUCCUCCUGCCUCAGUUUCUCAACUGCUGGGAUUACAGAAGUACAGAAGUGCACCACCACAAUAAUCAUUUUUUUUUUCCUUUUUCUGGAGACAAGGACUGUAGAUGACCCUGAACUUCUGAUUCCUUACUUCCAGCUCCCCAGUACUUAGCACACGCAGGGGAUCCCAGGGCUGUGUGCAUGCCCGCUGUGUGCAAACGCUCUACCCACUGAUCACAUUGCUAGCCCUCCUGUAGCCAUUUGUCACUUUGCAGCUGAGGAAUAAUUGGGGACGAAUGGACAGGCUGACAGAAGGCAGAGGACUGAAUGGCCUCAGUCCUAGGCCUGGACAGCUGACCAGGUCAGGAAGGAAGCCGGAAGCCCGAGCAACCAUGUGUCCAGGUCCAGCUCUGGCCUCUGCCUGCCCACACAUCCUCAGGGCUGAGCUGGUCACUGGGGCUGAUUGAAAAGGCAAGAUGAUCCUGGGAAGCCUUUAAAGUGUGGGAAGCAAGCAGAUGACAUAGCUCCACUCGGUGCUGUCCUGGAUGGCCCCUUAGUUGUCAGCUUCUAACCCUGGCCUCCCGAAUGCUCCCUGAAAGCACCAAACACAUUCCAGCCCCAGGGCCUUUGCACUUGCUGUUUUUGUUGGCUGGAAGCUUUUCCUGUCCCUCGGGUGUCUACAGGGCUCCCUCCUCCUCCCCACUCCCUUCAGGAUUCUGCUCAAUGGUCGACUUGAGCCCCUUUCACUCACCAUGAGAGGCACCUGCCCCUCCUCCUUCAAUUCUCACCACUCUGUACGAGGUAAGAACAUUCUCUUUGGCUUCCAGGCUGUCACCAGGACUUGUAUGCCUUUAAAGCUGUAGUCGUGCCUUCACCUGCAGCUGGGUGGAGUGACAGCCAGGUGGGGAGGACACACACCUUUAAUCCCAGUGCUUGGAAGGCAGCGAGAAUGAAUUGUAUGAGUUUGAGGCUAACCUGGGCUACAGUAUCAAGUUCUAGGACAGUGAAGGCUACAAUGGAGAAACCCUGUCUCAAAAACAAAAACCUAAAAACAGAAGUGAAAAAGUUUGAGAAUACCUGGUCUGCAAGAGAUACUUUAUCUAAAAAACAAAAACAAAACAACAACAACAAAACCCAAAAGAGUAAAUGAUGAUGAUGAUGAUGAUGAUGAUAAUAACUACUUGGUAAAGCCAGGUGGGGUGGCCCAGCACCUGAGAGGCAGAAAAAGAUGAAUUUCUCUGAAUUCCUGGUCAGCUAGGGCUACAUAAAGAGAUCCUAUCUAAAAAACAAACAAAAACAAACUCUAGUCUGUGGAACAUAGUAGAUGCUCAAUAAAAUUUUUUCAAUUAAGUAGGACAACAGAGUAGAAAACAAUGGAAGAUGCUAGAACAGACCAGAGACCACAGUGAAAGAGGAAAACACGGUGGGUGGAUGUGACACACUGUGAGGGUCCAAGCACUUCACCACUUCUGUCAGGACCUUCCCAGUGCUACCUCAGCCCAGGAGGGUAUCACAAGGCUGGUGGCAAGCCUGGGGGUCUUCUCUGGACUUUUCCCUGCAGGCUGCCUGCCCUGAGUCCAGGGCUCUUCUGCCCUUUCUGCCCAGCUCUCGUCUCCCUGGCAGGUCAGAGGUGGUUUCCGGUCUGGACGUGAAGAGGCAGUGAUUGUCUCCGAUGAGGGCAAGUCCUGGUGAGUCACUGGCUGAGCGCUGACCAGUAUUCCAUAGGCAUCAUGGGGGGGUGGGGGGGAUAUCCAUCACAGGAGACAGAUCAUAUGUCUCUGUGUGUAUCUGUGUACAUGACUGUGCGUGUGUGUCUGUGUGUGUCUCUGUGUCUGUGUCUGUGUGUCUCCGUGUCUGUGUGUGUCUCCGUGUCUGUGUCUGUGUGUGUCUCCGUGACUGUGUCUGUGUGUGUCUCUGUGUCUGUGUGUGUCUGCAUCUGUGUGUCUCUAGGAGUGUCUGUGUCUGCAUCUGUGAGAGACAGACCCCCUGCGCUUGGCCCUGACCAUCCUUGGAGGCUGAGAAAGAUGGAAGCCCCAUCUGCCUUCAGGUCUGGGCACCAUGGUGUAUCGUCCCCCGAGUCUAAGGAAAUCUAACCAGGUCUUAAUACCUCCAAGGCCCCUCUACUCAGGACCCCCAGGGCUCCCUGACCUGUCAGAUCAAGACUCAAAUCCGGCUCAAUCCACCUGCACCAUUGCUGACCUCAUUGCCUCCCCCCACCCCCAGCUCCAGACAUACUGGCUUCAGCUGCCCCCAUAUCAUGCCAGCUGUAAUCCUGCCCCAGGACCUUUGCACUGGUCACCCACGCUGCCGUCAUUUUCUCUGCUGACCCUGUCACGGUCAGCCUGCUCUAAAGCAUCAGCUCCGGGGAGCAGGUGGGCAGUCCACUCUGUUCUCUCUAUCCUGCGUGUCCAGGGCAGAGCCUGACCACUGUGCAUUCUCAGAACCAUCCAGGCAGACUAAUGAGAAGCUAGAGAAGCUGGAAGCAAAUGAACGGACUAGGAAGGUUACACUUUAAAAGCCAGGUGAUGAGGACACAGGACACGGCUCUGCGACAACAGUAAGCCAGCCCCUUCAGGAUGGUCCAGAGACUACAGGUGGAAAGGGACUGAGAUGCACCAGUAACAACAACAACGACGACCAGAACCACAACAACAACACCUAAUGGUGUGGCAUCAUUUUUGUUCUGAGCCACAUUCAGUUGCUUCUUAGCUGUGCACAUCUUGGCAAGUGUCUCUACCUCUCUGGGCACCACUUCCAGGUUGCUUUGUACUUGCCUGGCACAUAAAAGAUGCUCAGAGCCAUCCCUGUGGUCCUCCCUGAGCCCUAGAUAUGCCAGGCCUCAACCAUGUACUAGGCUUGGGGACUCCACCCAGUACCCACACUGUGCCUUGCCUGUGGAACAUCAGUGGUCAUGCUGUCCCUCCCAUAGUUCCAACAUGGGAGUCCACUUGUGAUGAGGUCACAGUUAGUAUUUCUGACUGAAGCACACGGUGGUUCUGGGGACCUUGCAGGCUUUCAAUGACCGGGGAGUCCAGAUGGUUUGAGAAAACCAUCACCUGCUUCAGAUCCAGAACCUUCAGCUGCAGCUGGGUAUGGAAUUUCUAAGUGGUCAAAUUCUGGGUCUGACUCAAACAUGCAUUGAUUGACCAGUGGGCAAGCCAAGUGUGGUUUAUCUGUAAGAUGACACAUUCAUCGAUUAAAAACAGCUGAGCUACUCGCACAUGGAAAGAAGCGCUCAUUCGCCCGGAGCGCCUGGCCAUCACCGAGGGAGUGAGCAGCACCUGGCCGCAGGGUUAGUGCAUGAGGCACAUCUGGAGGUGAAACGCUUCCUAGUCACCCUCCAUGGCGCUGCGCUGGCUCAGCGGCUGUGUACCCAGCACCACACGGAGUCGAUGACAUUCCCCAUGGCCACCAGAUGACUAGGGACUCUGGUGUCAUGUGGCUGUGAGUGACAAGAGAAACACAAGCUGGCUCAGCCAGGGCCACCAGGCAAUGCUCUGGAGAAGAUGGGACACAGCUCAAAACAAGCCGAAUGGCUCUAUUUGGAACUCGUUCAUCCCUGUUGAUGUCCAUCAUGUCUGCUCACCUCACGCCAUCAUUUGUCCCCUAGUCUGCACAAGUCCUCCCCCACCCCUAUCCUGGCCACACCUAGCACACACAGAUGGCUUUGCUGCAGGGCCUUUGUACUUGCUAUUGUGUGCUAGGCCCAUGUCCUCUGAACUGGCUCCUUCUUGCUCUUUGUAUCUCUGUUCAAGGAACUCCUCCUAGCUUCCCUGUCCCAAGGGAUCUUUAUGUUCCCUGUUGUUAUCCCCUCCCCCCCCUAAGACUUUUCACCCAAAAUUACCUUUGACCUGUGUCUAUUUUCUGCCCUCCUGUCCCAUGAGAUUGUCAGUUUCCAGAGAGCCAGGCCGCCAGGCUGCCUCCUUACCAAUACCUAGUACCCUGCACACAGUAGGUGCUCAUCUGUGUACAGUCAGACACAAAUUAAUAAAUGUGUGCACAAAUGAG